This is a long non-coding RNA of Aquila chrysaetos chrysaetos, 1170 nucleotides long. RefSeq lists it as uncharacterized. The record is from RefSeq and is a predicted model, not a curated record. Lineage: Eukaryota; Metazoa; Chordata; Aves; Accipitriformes; Accipitridae. The transcript has 5 exons.
UGUUCUGUGUUGUGUGUUUUGUGUGCACGGGUGUGUUUGGCUUGGAGCUGCUCUGCCCGGGGAUGUAGAGUCAGGGGUAGGUGGAACAGCAAUAAGAGUCUGUGGGUGAAAUGUUGAUUUGCCUUAAUUCUUUAGGCGAGGGUUGUACAGUAAUCUUGGCUCUAGUAGCCAUCGGCGGGCUUUGCAGACAGCCGUGCCGAUAGUAUUUUACGGACACGAUUGAGCUAUGUGGCAUGGGCUGUUGAGGGGUAAUGAAGCAGAUUUGAGUCUCUAAGGUGUUAAGUCUUGCAAGUGAUGGGCCUAAAGUUUGGCCCCUUUCUUUUCUUUUUCUAAGAUGGCAGGCUGUAGUUGGACUCCAGAUGGUAUUCCUAGAUGGAAUCAAGACCUCUGGAAUUGUUAAGCUCUUGCUGUGCAUCUUGGUGACUUGUUCAAUAUGGUUUUUUUUUCAGAUGCAGAGGGACAAGUUGUGUGCCACAGAGCGAUGGAGGAGGGGAGGGGAGCAGCGUAAGAAGGUAUGAAGCAAGGAGCGAAGCGGGCCAUUGGUACUGGAGGCGACUUGGGCAAGGUGGCGCACGCAGCCUUGGAGGGGUGAAGUCGCAGGCUGAUGAGCAGUGUGAGAAGGUGCUGUGCGGGCCACCUUUGGAAUGGAAUGAGCGUUUGAGGUGAGCUGUAGCUUAGGGAGGAGGAGUGUGGGGCCGGUGACUUCUCACGACUGCUAUGCUAAUUUUGUGUGUCUUGCUGUCUCUAGGUACCACGAGAGAUGAUGGCUGCAGGGUCUGACUCUGGAAUGAGCAGAUGAUGAAGAGGAGCCUGGCGACUGCAGGAACAUCCUAGUGAGCCGGCGUGGUUUUUCUGGAUGAUGGAUUCAGACCCUCGACCCUCUGAAAGCUAAGUUGAGGGACCCAGGCUGGGGAGAGGCUGGAAGGGAGGGACACAGCUGGGAGUUGCAGGGAGGGGUUUUAAAGUUAUUGCAGGAGAGAGGGCUGUCCCAAAGCCGUCCCCUUUGCGCAGGCAAAGGGAGCGGGUUGCUUUUCAGCACGAGACCUGCGUGUGCUGGGCAGGGCAGUUCCAGUCUGUGUCCACGGUGGUGUGUAGUUUGUGUAGUCUGUCUUCUGUGGUUAGACCUUCCUCAGGCCUCGAUGUCCUUGUCGCACUUUGUGCCGGAGAAGC